This 497-nucleotide ribosomal RNA is filed under the name uncultured bacterium. Its description in RNAcentral is "partial 16S ribosomal RNA". It matches the Rfam family "Bacterial small subunit ribosomal RNA", at positions 28 to 507 of the family's 1533-position model. The record is from RNAcentral.
GAUGAACGCUGGCGGCGUGCCUAAUACAUGCAAGUCGAGCGAACAGACGAGGAGCUUGCUCCUUUGACGUUAGCGGCGGACGGGUGAGUAACACGUGGGUAACCUACCUAUAAGACUGGGAUAACUUCGGGAAACCGGAGCUAAUACCGGAUAAUAUUUCGAACCGCAUGGUUCGAUAGUGAAAGAUGGCUUUGCUAUCACUUAUAGAUGGACCUGCGCCGUAUUAGCUAGUUGGUAAGGUAACGGCUUACCAAGGCAACGAUACGUAGCCGACCUGAGAGGGUGAUCGGCCACACUGGAAUUGAGACACGGUCCAGACUCCUACGGGAGGCAGCAGUAGGGAAUCUUCCGCAAUGGGCGAAAGCCUGACGGAGCAACGCCGCGUGAGUGAUGAAGGUCUUCGGAUCGUAAAACUCUGUUAUUAGGGAAGAACAAACGUGUAAGUAACUGUGCACGUCUUGACGGUACCUAAUCAGAAAGCCACGGCUAACUACGUG